UAGCCCCUCAUUCUAAGAUAGGGUUUGGAGGAACUCCCCCUCUAGUCCUGAGAAGCCCCAAAUACAGACUGCAGCUGUCAUGUGUUGUCUUUUUCCUGUCAGGAGACAAUGAAUCUAAGGAGCAUAGAAGCUGGGUAGAAGGGAAUCCGUCAUGGUGGCAUCUCCGCAAAAUUCUCAAUCCAUUCAUCAAGUUUUCAUAUUGUACUCUUUGAAUGAUAACCACAAAGCAGUUAUGAUAUAAUAUAGGGCUCCAAAACCAUGAUCCAGAAAACCUUGAGGCAUUCUGUUUUUUCCCCUGAAACCAGAUGGGAUCUCGGAGCCCUGUGCUGAUUAUAGUGAAUCCGCAGAGGAAAGAGGCAGCUGUCAGCUCUUGAGCUAAGAGUACUUUUGCAAUUUUGUUACACUUCAACAAUGUAACCACCUUUCUGUGAUAAUUUGCAUCCACUGAAACCACUCCGUGCAUUUAAUGAAUUCUGCAUCAGACACCAUGUUGGAGACAGCAGAAAUGGACUUAGAUUGAACUGAAUAACAUUACACUGGAAAGAGGGAGUGAAUCAGAUGAUAACACCGCCUGGAGAAGAUGCAUUAGCUUCCUACCUGAAUCUUUCUUGGCCUGCAGUGUCCCAUAUUUGGAGCUUGACAAAUUUAUUUACCACGUUGAUUAUUUUUGAUCCAAACUCCACGCCUAUGGUAUGAUUGGAGUCGUCUUUGACUAGUCAAACAAAUGGUACACAAUUGUGUUACAACCUCCGAAAAAACACAAUUUAAAAAACACAAUUUAAAGCAAAUUAACAGACAUGCACGCACGCACACAAUGCUAAACUAGUGCUCAAGCUUUUUAAAAUUAAUUCCACUUAAAUAAUACAAUACUUGAAAGUAUAGGGACCAUGGCACCACAAAAGCCACAACUCACAUUUCUUUUCUAUAAACUGGUGAAGAAGACAUGACUUCCCCGUCCCUGCAUUCCCAAUCACGAGAAAUUUGAACAAGAAAUCUGAAGGGGAAUUAAGGAAAAAGCGUUACCUGCAUAGUGCCAAUUCCGUUGUUAUUUUUCAACUUCCAGCACACAGAACUUUCAAAGGACAGCCAUUUGAAAGCAUCUGGACAGCAUCCACUUUAAGUCCCAUGUUCAGUGUACAAAUAAAUACAUGAUUUAUCCCUGUAGUUCUUAACAUGAGAUGACCAAAGUGCAUGUGUAUGUGUAGAGAUGCCAGGGGAAGGGGUGAGUAAAGUUAAUCAAACCAAUAUUUAAAGGCACCGAUGACAUAUUCGUAAAGAUCGAGGACGUGUCUAUCUAGUUUCACGGUUCGACUAUACGACCGAACCCAAGGUGCGCAGAGAUUCACGUAACUAAUAGCCUACUGGUCUGAAAUAUUAACUGUAGCCUACUGUGCGCCCAGUGAUGCGACUUCGAUGUUAGGUUUUUAAAGCACGAAUGAACAGCGCUUUCAACUGUAACAGCGACACACGUACCCAGUUUAUGAACAAAUAAGCUUCUCCAUACAGCUAUGGGGUAAUCAAAAAGAUAG
Long non-coding RNA from Anguilla rostrata (American eel), 1529 nucleotides. RefSeq lists it as uncharacterized. The record is from RefSeq and is a predicted model, not a curated record. Lineage: Eukaryota; Metazoa; Chordata; Actinopteri; Anguilliformes; Anguillidae. The transcript has 2 exons.